RNAcentral lists this ribosomal RNA (832 nucleotides) under uncultured Pseudomonadota bacterium. RNAcentral describes it as "bacterial SSU rRNA". It matches the Rfam family "Bacterial small subunit ribosomal RNA", at positions 67 to 902 of the family's 1533-position model. Lineage: Bacteria; Pseudomonadati; Pseudomonadota. The record is from RNAcentral.
UGCGCGGUUGUAGCAAUACAACUGGCGCACGGCGCACGGGUGCGUAACACGUGGGCAAUCUGCCCUUCGAUGGGGAAUAUCUUCGGGAAACCGAAGCGAAUUCCGCAUAACAUUCCUUGGACCUCGGUUCGAGGACUCAAAGCCGUAAGGCGUCGAAGGAGGAGCCCGCGCACGAUUAGCUAGUUGGUAGGGUAACGGCCUACCAAGGCUUUGAUCGUUAGCUGGUCUGAGAGGAUGGCCAGCCACACUGGAACUGAGACACGGUCCAGACUCCUACGGGAGGCAGCAGUGGGGAAUCUUGCACAAUGGGCGAAAGCCUGAUGCAGCGACGCCGCGUGGGGGAUGAAGCAUUUCGGUGUGUAAACCCCUUUCGACCCGGAAGAAUGCCUCGCAAGAGGACUGACGGUACGGGUAUAAGAAGCCCCGGCUAACUACGUGCCAGCAGCCGCGGUAAGACGUAGGGGGCCAGCGUUGUUCGGAAUUACUGGGUGUAAAGGGUUCGUAGGCGGUGCGGCAAGUUGGGAGUGAAAUCUCUGGGCUCAACCCAGAGGCUGCUUCCAAAACUGCUGUGCUUGAGUGUGGGAGAGGCGCGUGGAAUUGCAGGUGUAGCGGUGAAAUGCGUAGAUAUCUGCAGGAACACCCGUGGCGAAAGCGGCGCGCUGGACCACUACUGACGCUGAGGAACGAAAGCUAGGGGAGCAAACAGGAUUAGAUACCCUGGUAGUCCUAGCCCUAAACGAUCAGGACUUGGGGUGCCACCCGUUCGGGUGUCGUCCCGGAGCUAACGCGUUAAGUCCUGCACCUGGGGAGUACGGUCGCAAGACUGAAACUC